UGGGGAAUAUUGGACAAUGGGCGCAAGCCUGACCCAGCCAUGCCGCGUGAGUGAUGAAGGCCUUAGGGUUGUAAAGCUCUUUCGGCGGGGACGAUAAUGACGGUACCCGCAGAAGAAGCCCCGGCUAACUUCGUGCCAGCAGCCGCGGUAAUACGAAGGGGGCUAGCGUUGCUCGGAAUCACUGGGCGUAAAGGGCGCGUAGGCGGACAUUUAAGUCGGGGGUGAAAGCCCAGGGCUCAACCCUGGAAUUGCCUCCGAUACUGGGUGUCUCGAGACCGGAAGAGGUGAGUGGAACUGCGAGUGUAGAGGUGAAAUUCGUAGAUAUUCGCAAGAACACCAGUGGCGAAGGCGGCUCACUGGUCCGGUUCUGACGCUGAGGCGCGAAAGCGUGGGGAGCAAACAGGAUUAGAUACCCUGGUAGUCCACGCCGUAAACGAUGGAUGCUAGCCGUUGGCAGGCUUGCCUGUCAGUGGCGCAGCUAACGCUUUAAGCAUCCCGCCUGGGGAGUACGGCCGCAAGGUUAAAACUUAAAUGAAUUGACGGGGUCAUAGCUGUUUCCU
This 560-nucleotide ribosomal RNA is filed under the name uncultured bacterium. RNAcentral describes it as "partial 16S ribosomal RNA". It matches the Rfam family "Bacterial small subunit ribosomal RNA", at positions 355 to 1375 of the family's 1533-position model. The record is from RNAcentral.